This 68-nucleotide transfer RNA is filed under the name Carollia castanea. Its description in RNAcentral is "tRNA-Pro". The record is from RNAcentral. Lineage: Eukaryota; Metazoa; Chordata; Mammalia; Chiroptera; Phyllostomidae.
UCAAGGAGUAGUUUAAUUAGAAUCUCAGCUUUGGGUGUUGAGGGUGGGGCGUAGUGCCUUCUCCUUGA